GUGGGGAAUUUUGGACAAUGGGGGAAACCCUGAUCCAGCGACGCCGCGUGAAGGAUGAAGGCCUUCGGGUUGUAAACUUCUUUUGGAGGGGACGAAUAAAUUGACGGUACCCUCAGAAAAAGCCACGGCUAACUACGUGCCAGCAGCCGCGGUAAUACGUAGGUGGCGAGCGUUACUCGGAAUUACUAGGCGUAAAGCGUAUGUGGGCGGUUGUAUAAGUCUAUGGUGAAAUUUCCUGGCUCAACUGGGAAGGGACAUAGAUACUGUAUGGCUUGAGUGUUGGAGGGGGAGACGGAAUUCCUGGUGUAGCGGUGAAAUGCGUAGAUAUCAGGAGGAACACCGAUGGCGAAAGCAGUCUCCUGGCCAAAUACUGACGCUGAGGUACGAAAGCUAGGGUAGCAAACAGGAUUAGAAACCCUAGUAGUCC
Molecule: ribosomal RNA, 427 nt
Filed under: uncultured bacterium
Lineage: Bacteria
Description: partial 16S ribosomal RNA
Rfam family: Bacterial small subunit ribosomal RNA
Source: RNAcentral